This 600-nucleotide ribosomal RNA is filed under the name Pseudomonas entomophila. RNAcentral's name for it is "bacterial SSU rRNA". It matches the Rfam family "Bacterial small subunit ribosomal RNA", at positions 135 to 730 of the family's 1533-position model. The record is from RNAcentral. RNAcentral also lists the same sequence under 1 other name. Lineage: Bacteria; Pseudomonadati; Pseudomonadota; Gammaproteobacteria; Pseudomonadales; Pseudomonadaceae.
AGUGGGGGACAACGUUUCGAAAGGAACGCUAAUACCGCAUACGUCCUACGGGAGAAAGCAGGGGACCUUCGGGCCUUGCGCUAUCAGAUGAGCCUAGGUCGGAUUAGCUAGUUGGUGAGGUAAUGGCUCACCAAGGCUACGAUCCGUAACUGGUCUGAGAGGAUGAUCAGUCACACUGGAACUGAGACACGGUCCAGACUCCUACGGGAGGCAGCAGUGGGGAAUAUUGGACAAUGGGCGAAAGCCUGAUCCAGCCAUGCCGCGUGUGUGAAGAAGGUCUUCGGAUUGUAAAGCACUUUAAGUUGGGAGGAAGGGCAGUAAGCGAAUACCUUGCUGUUUUGACGUUACCGACAGAAUAAGCACCGGCUAACUCUGUGCCAGCAGCCGCGGUAAUACAGAGGGUGCAAGCGUUAAUCGGAAUUACUGGGCGUAAAGCGCGCGUAGGUGGUUCGUUAAGUUGGAUGUGAAAUCCCCGGGCUCAACCUGGGAACUGCAUCCAAAACUGGCGAGCUAGAGUAGGGCAGAGGGUGGUGGAAUUUCCUGUGUAGCGGUGAAAUGCGUAGAUAUAGGAAGGAACACCAGUGGCGAAGGCGACCACCU